UACGUAGGCAGCGAGCGUUGUUCGGAAUUACUGGGCGUAAAGAGUGUGUAGGCGGUGCUCUAAGUUCGGUGUGAAAUCUCCCGGCUUAACUGGGAGGGUGCGCCGGAAACUGGAGUGCUCGAACGUGGGAGAGGAAAGCGGAAUUCCUGGUGUAGCGGUGAAAUGCGUAGAUAUCAGGGGGAACACCUGCGGUGUAGACGGCUUUCUGGACCAUUGUUGACGCUGAGACACGAAAGCGUGGGUAGCAAACAGG
Molecule: ribosomal RNA, 253 nt
Filed under: uncultured bacterium
Lineage: Bacteria
Description: partial 16S ribosomal RNA
Rfam family: Bacterial small subunit ribosomal RNA
Source: RNAcentral